Long non-coding RNA from Alosa sapidissima (American shad), 1749 nucleotides. RefSeq lists it as uncharacterized. The record is from RefSeq and is a predicted model, not a curated record. NCBI's taxonomy places the organism in Eukaryota, Metazoa, Chordata, Actinopteri, Clupeiformes, Clupeidae. The transcript has 5 exons.
UAAAAAAAUAUUUUCCCUUUUAGUUAUGUUAACUUGUAAUAUUUAGCCAAGUAGACUUAAAUUUAACUCUGUUGUUCAGAUAACUUAUAUAUUUGGGUUUUAGUGGUGAAAACCAAUGACACAAUUGGUACAACUUAUUUUUUCUUGUCAUAUCCACAGUUAUCAUAGUUCACCUCCGUUUCACGCUGCGUCACGUAAAUGGCGCAUGCGCAGACACCUAACCGCACCUCGAAGUAAUUUUUCGUGAGGGUAAACCAGAGCCCAUGGUGGUGACUUUAACCGUCACUUUUCUGUUAUGCAUCUGACUGCAAGCUGUACAAACUCUGCCGUCAUCAUAUCCAAGGUAAGAACUACAGUACUUUUGUAUGCCAAUUGAAAACUGGAGUUAAUUAGGAAAAUACUGUUUUUAUAUUGUAGCAUUAAUGUUAACCUAAACCGUUUGUUAACCGUCAUGUUAGAAUUAGCUGACGUUUGCUAGCUAGCGAGCUAACAUCGCUAACGUUAGCUGUUAAUGUUAACUUUUCCAAUAACUAGCUUUACCAUUGUGUGGAAUAUCUGGAAUGGUAGUAAUAUCAUAUCCAACAAUAAGUCUGUCUGAGAUUUCGUUAUGGAUGUAAAGUUUUAGUUUGAAUGAAAUGGCCAAGGCUAUCAGGCACGAGUACGUUAGCUAACCUAGCUAUAACUUAGCCUGCAUGGUCAUUAGCAGCCACUAACGUAGGCUAACGUGAACAGGUUGUUGAUCUACCUCAAUAUGAUACCGACAAGUCAAGGGAUCUUUAGUUUGUGAAGGGUAACCUAUAGUGCUAUAUUAAGCCAUCCUUACACCAGAAGACUUGACCAGAUUUGGGUAAGAUUAUUGAAAGAUUGUAGUCUUUUGAGUAAAGCUUGAAUGCAUUAGUUAAAAAACGCCAAUCUUUCCCAAAUCUUGUCAAAGUAUUCUGAUGUAUGGGUAGCAUUAGGCAAAAUGUUCUUCAUUUCAUAGCCCUUAUUUGGUUGUACCUGACUUGUGCCAAGGCAUGUGUUCAUUUAAGAUGCAUGUGAGGGCAGUAGUGCUUCAAUGAUGGUCUUUUCAUGUUAUGUGUAUUUUAUUAAUCUUAAUUUCCCUCUGUUCCCUGUUUGCAGGCAGUAAGUUGUGAGGACUGCUUCCCUGAGAACACUGAGUGCAUUCUGGAAUAUUCCAAAUGUGUCCCACUUCCAUACAAAAGAAGUUCGAAUCCCGCAAGAGAGUUCACUCACCAGUGGGCUUCAUCAACAGACCAGGGCAAAGUCGGUCUGUCCCGCUACUACAACAUGCUACUUGACUAUGUCUGGAAGCCAUGGCUGCUGCCCUCAACAUGCUAAACUGAAACCCUCACAAAUAAAGUCACAAAUCAAGAAUUAACAUUGAUGGUGAUAGUGGCAAGGGUGCCUUCAUAAGGUGCCAUCCAGCAAGUCCCAGCCUGGAGCCAGAGGCUGGCACUGCACGUCAGAUGGGGGAGGAUCUAUGUUAGGCAUCAGAAAGGUGGUUUAAGCAAGAAGGCAAGAACUUCUGCAGACAGUGUUGCAAUUAGACACCUGACUUUUACUGAGUCCCUUUUCUGGUUUGUUUUGGAUGAACUAGAGUGGUGGGCACAGAAAUUUUGUCGAUGGGUCAAACAUUCACACACUCACUCACACAACCACACUUGUGGAUUUGUCAAGCAACAAAUCUUUGUAUAUAAUCUGUUGCUCAUUGAAUAUGCUUAAUAAAUGUUGUCUUCUUGACUUGUA